UUCGGUGGCAAUGGCGGAGGGGAAACACCCGUUCCCAUUCCGAACACGGAAGUUAAGCCCUCCAGCGCCGAUGGUACUGCCGUGGUAACGCGGUGGGAGAGUAGGUCGUCGCCGAGC
This 117-nucleotide ribosomal RNA is filed under the name Candidatus Dormiibacterota bacterium. Lineage: Bacteria; Bacillati; Candidatus Dormiibacterota. The record is from RNAcentral.